This 223-nucleotide ribosomal RNA is filed under the name uncultured bacterium. Its description in RNAcentral is "partial 16S ribosomal RNA". It matches the Rfam family "Bacterial small subunit ribosomal RNA", at positions 111 to 334 of the family's 1533-position model. The record is from RNAcentral.
UAACACGUGGGUAACCUGCCUUAUGGAGGGGGAUAACAGAGAGAAAUCACUGCUAAUACUGCAUAAGCACACAGUACCGCAUGGUACAGGGUGAAAAGAUUUAUCGCCAUAAGAUGGACCCGCGUCUGAUUAGCCAGUUGGCAGGGUAAAAGCCUACCAAAGCAACGAUCAGUAGCCGAUCUGAGAGGAUGACCGGCCACAUUGGGACUGAGACACGGCCCAA